AGAAUCAACGCUGGCGGCGUGCCUCAGACAUGCAAGUCGAACGCGAAACCCCGAGCAAUCGGGAAAGUAGAGUGGCGCACGGGUGAGUAACACGUAGGUAAUCUACCUUCGGAUGGGGAAUAACAACCGGAAACGGUUGCUAAUACCGCAUAAUGCAGCGGCACCUAAUGGUGACAGUUGUUAAAGCGGGGGAUCGAAAGACCUCGCGUCUGAAGAGGAGCCUGCGGCGGAUUAGCUAGUUGGUAAGGUAAUGGCUUACCAAGGCAAACGAUCCGUAACC
RNAcentral lists this ribosomal RNA (280 nucleotides) under uncultured soil bacterium. RNAcentral describes it as "partial 16S ribosomal RNA". It matches the Rfam family "Bacterial small subunit ribosomal RNA", at positions 26 to 288 of the family's 1533-position model. The record is from RNAcentral.